Pieris napi is the source of this 403-nucleotide long non-coding RNA. RefSeq lists it as uncharacterized. The transcript is spliced from 2 exons. NCBI's taxonomy places the organism in Eukaryota, Metazoa, Arthropoda, Insecta, Lepidoptera, Pieridae. The record is from RefSeq and is a predicted model, not a curated record.
UUACGCAAAAGCGGUAGUGUAUGUAGAAUACUUUUCGACACCAAUAUGGCUAGACCCCCAGGGGGUACUGUCGAAAACGCUUCGUUCGUAGCCAAGAGGUAUGUCGAUACAUUACCGCAAAGUCGACAGCGUAGAUGCGAGCUGCUGUUCGUAGCACCUUAUUCCGUCAUAUUGUCUCUGGAUUAAAUAUAUUCCUAAUGUCACUUUUAUAAACAAAUAAAAGUUAAAACUUUACAAUAUUAUUGCAAAUUUGCAAUUGGAAGCUGCAAAAGGGACAUUAGAAUGUCAGCAAGGUCGGAACAAUUUUCGAUUUAAGUGGAAUUUACGGAAGGAUUAGGAACCUCACAACUAAUCUGCAAAAUGAAGAAGCAACAUAUUUUGUUACCGCUUAGAAGAAACAAUA